AGACGUCUACAUUAGAUACCCCUGUAGUCCCAGCCGUAAACUAUGCGCGUUAGGUGUAUCGGUGACCACGAGUCACCGAGGUGCCGAAGGGAAACCGUGAAACGUGCCGCCUGGGAAGUACGGUCGCAAGGCUGAAACUUAAAGGAAUUGCGGGGGAGCACCACAACAGGUGGAGCCUGCGGUUUAAUUGGACUCAACGCCGGGAAGCUCACCGGAUAGGACAGCAGAAUGAUUGCCGGGCUGAAGACCCUGCAUGACUAGCUG
RNAcentral lists this ribosomal RNA (264 nucleotides) under uncultured archaeon. Its description in RNAcentral is "partial 16S ribosomal RNA". It matches the Rfam family "Archaeal small subunit ribosomal RNA", at positions 714 to 982 of the family's 1478-position model. The record is from RNAcentral.